Molecule: non-coding RNA, 76 nt
Filed under: human gut metagenome
Description: Glycine riboswitch
Rfam family: Glycine riboswitch aptamer
About the family: This family represents the bacterial glycine riboswitch. Glycine riboswitches usually consist of two metabolite-binding aptamers domains with similar structures in tandem. The aptamers cooperatively bind glycine to regulate the expression of downstream genes.
Source: RNAcentral
UGUAUUCGGGAGAGACCGCUCCGAGCGGCGCCGAAGGGGAUUUGCACAUGAAACUCUCAGGCAAAAGGACCGGAUA